ACAAAAUGAUGAGCUUCCACUUCAUUGGCCUGUGUUUCUAAAACAAAUGAUAUUUAUGGUAAUUCUGAUUUG
This is a small nucleolar RNA of Otolemur garnettii (small-eared galago), 72 nucleotides long. Its record names the gene SNORD18. It matches the Rfam family "Small nucleolar RNA SNORD18". Rfam says of the family: U18 is a member of the C/D class of snoRNA which contain the C (UGAUGA) and D (CUGA) box motifs. It is encoded in introns of ribosomal protein L1 in Xenopus and human, and in introns of elongation factor 1 beta in yeast. Related snoRNAs in Arabidopsis and rice have been named R63 and Z106 respectively. The record is from Ensembl. Lineage: Eukaryota; Metazoa; Chordata; Mammalia; Primates; Galagidae.